RNAcentral lists this long non-coding RNA (517 nucleotides) under Homo sapiens (human). RNAcentral describes it as "HSALNT0393818". The record is from RNAcentral. Lineage: Eukaryota; Metazoa; Chordata; Mammalia; Primates; Hominidae.
CCCCGCCCCCUCAGUUCCACCCCUUGGCCUGCCGGGUCCUCUCAGGCACCCAGCGGAGUUUCGAGUCAGACUUGAGCUCGGGCGUAGCGGCUAGACCGGGCUGUGGCGAUAGAGUCCAAAGGAAGGCAGGAUGACUUCAAAGAUCUGCUAGUGCACCUGGAUUCUGGUUUUCUUACUAUUCAGCUUCAUGACCUUGAACAAACUUUACUCAGCUUGGCUGUGCCUCAGUUUAGUCAUCUGGAAAGGAAGGGGAUAGGACUAUAACUAAAUAUAAUUCUAGAUCAUUUUAAGUAUCAUCUGUGCACUCACGCAAUAUGUGCAUGGAACGUGGAGGCGAGAGUACAAAAGGCAUGGUGCUUGCCUAUCGACAUGAGGCCCCUACAACCCAGGGAAGGCCCGGUGGUCCAGGAUCCAGUGCUGCUCCCCAUGUGCCCAUCUCACAUGCUGCUCGGCACCAGCAGCCAUCACCACUCCACUUCUCUCAAGAGAGACAGAGUCUCACUAUGUUGCCCAGGCU